AAUAAUCCGCAUCGUCAGCGUAAGACAAAUACUAAUAAAGAACCUAUUAGUUAACUAAAAGGGAGUUCGACUCAUAGUUGUAAUAUUGCAGGCCUCAUCUCUCACGAGAAUUUGCAAAAGCCUUCGGGUUGUCCUUAAUAAGGACUAGCAGUCAGAGGAAACAAGAAAUAACUAGGCGGACACCCACCGUGUAAAAAAAGGGUUCUUUCUUUUACACUUGCCUUUGCUACGAUGCGGAUUUUUA
This 244-nucleotide non-coding RNA is filed under the name Bacteroidota bacterium. RNAcentral describes it as "Bacteroidetes bacterium (wastewater metagenome) 6S RNA". It matches the Rfam family "6S / SsrS RNA". Rfam says of the family: E. coli 6S RNA was the first non coding RNA to be sequenced, but its function was unknown until recently. The record is from RNAcentral. Lineage: Bacteria; Pseudomonadati; Bacteroidota.